This 835-nucleotide ribosomal RNA is filed under the name uncultured fungus. RNAcentral's name for it is "eukaryotic LSU rRNA". The stretch from base 1 to 241 matches the Rfam family "Eukaryotic small subunit ribosomal RNA", at positions 1593 to 1831 of the family's 1831-position model. Lineage: Eukaryota; Fungi. The record is from RNAcentral.
UUGCUCUUCAACGAGGAAUGCCUAGUAAGCGUGAGUCAUCAGCUCACGUUGAUUACGUCCCUGCCCUUUGUACACACCGCCCGUCGCUACUACCGAUUGAAUGGCUUAGUGAGAUCUCCGGAUUGGCUUUGAGAAGCUGGCAACGGCCUCUUAUUGCUGAGAAGCUGAUCAAACUUGGUCAUUUAGAGGAAGUAAAAGUCGUAACAAGGUUUCCGUAGGUGAACCUGCGGAAGGAUCAUUAUUGAAUUGUUUGUUUGAAUUGGCUUAAAAACCCAGUUCGGCAUCCAUAUCCAUUACACCUGUGCACCGUUGGAUGACCUCGACUCUUGUAGUCUUGGAAGUCCACUUUUACACCAAACAAUAUGUAACAAAUGUAGUCUUAUUAUAACAUAAUAAAACUUUCAACAACGGAUCUCUUGGUUCUCGCAUCGAUGAAGAACGCAGCGAAAUGCGAUAAGUAAUGUGAAUUGCAGAAUUCAGUGAAUCAUCGAAUCUUUGAACGCAAAUUGCACUCUUUGGUAUUCCGAAGAGUAUGCCUGUUUGAGUGUCAUGCAACCCUCAACUCCAAGUUUGGUUAAUCUGAGCCUGGAUGUUGGAUUUGGGCGUUUGUCAGUGAUGAGCCGACUCGCCUUAAAAUUGUGAGCUGGAUUAGUCUUUGUACUGGUUCCCCUAGGCGUGAUAAGUAUUUCGCUUGGGACAUGAGUUCGCUCGUGGCCAGGACUUUGACAAUGGUCUGCUUUCUAUACCCCAUACGCACCUGUGUGUAUAUUCUUGACAUCUGGCCUCAAAUCAGGUAGGACUACCCGCUGAACUUAAGCAUAUCAAUAAGCGGAGG